AGCUCGUGUCGUGAAGUAGUGUUGGGGUUUAAGUCCCGCAACGAGCGCAACCCUUGUCACUAGUUGCCAUCAUUUAGUUGGGCACUCUAGUGAGACUGCCGGUGACAAACCGGAGGAAGGUGGGGAUGACGUCAAGUCCUCAUGGCCCUUAUGGGUAGGGCUUCACACGUCAUACAAUGGUCGGUACAGAGGGUUGCCAACCCGCGAGGGGGAGCUAAUCCCACAAAGCCGAUCGUAGUCCGGAUCGCAGUCUGCAACUCGACUGCGUGAAGUCGGAAUCGCUAGUAAUCGUGGAUCAGCAUGUCACGGUGAAUACGUUCCCGGGUCUU
RNAcentral lists this ribosomal RNA (329 nucleotides) under uncultured Rhodocyclaceae bacterium. RNAcentral describes it as "bacterial SSU rRNA". It matches the Rfam family "Bacterial small subunit ribosomal RNA", at positions 1057 to 1382 of the family's 1533-position model. Lineage: Bacteria; Pseudomonadati; Pseudomonadota; Betaproteobacteria; Rhodocyclales; Rhodocyclaceae. The record is from RNAcentral.